UACGUAGGUGGCAAGCGCUGUCCGGAAUUAUUGGGCGUAAAGCGGGCGCAGGCGGCCUCUUAAGUCUGAUGUGAAAGCCCCCGGCUCAACCGGGGAGGGCCAUUGGAAACUGGGAGGCUUGAGUAUAGGAGAGAAGAGUGGAAUUCCACGUGUAGCGGUGAAAUGCGUAGAGAUGUGGAGGAACACCAGUGGCGAAGGCGACUCUCUGGUCUGCGACUGACGCUGAGGCGCGAAAGUGUGGGGAGCAAACCGG
This 253-nucleotide unclassified non-coding RNA is filed under the name uncultured Caryophanales bacterium. RNAcentral's name for it is "uncultured Bacillales bacterium contains 16S-23S intergenic spacer region". It matches the Rfam family "Bacterial small subunit ribosomal RNA", at positions 524 to 776 of the family's 1533-position model. Lineage: Bacteria; Bacillati; Bacillota; Bacilli; Caryophanales. The record is from RNAcentral.